CCUACGGGAGGCAGCAGUGGGGAAUCUUGCGCAAUGGCCGAAAGGCUGACGCAGCGACGCCGCGUGUGGGAUGACGGCCUUCGGGUUGUAAACCACUGUCGGAAGGGACGAAUGGCCCGCAAGGGCAGUGACGGUACCUUCAAAGGAAGCACCGGCUAACUCCGUGCCAGCAGCCGCGGUAAUACAGAGACCUCAAGCNUUAUCCGGAUUUAUUGGGCGUAAAGGGUGUGUAGGCGGCAAUGAUAGUCAGAUGUUAAAUUUCAGCGCUCAACGUUGAAGCUGCAUCUGAAACGUCAUAGCUAGAGGCAAGUAGAGGUUCAUGGAACAUAUGGUGUAGCAGUGAAAUGCGUUGAUAUCAUAUGGAACGCCAAAGGCGAAGGCAGUGAACUGGGCUUGCUCUGACGCUGAGACACGAAAGCGUGGGUAGCGAAUGGGAUUAGAUACCCCGGUANUC
RNAcentral lists this ribosomal RNA (454 nucleotides) under uncultured bacterium. RNAcentral's name for it is "bacterial SSU rRNA". It matches the Rfam family "Bacterial small subunit ribosomal RNA", at positions 338 to 795 of the family's 1533-position model. The record is from RNAcentral.